GACGAACGCUGGCGGCGUGCUUAACACAUGCAAGUCGAACGAUGAUGCCAGCUUGCUGGUGGAUUAGUGGCGAACGGGUGAGUAACACGUGGGUGAUCUGCCCCGAACUUUGGGAUAAGCCUGGGAAACUGGGUCUAAUACAGGAUAGUACCUUCCCUUGCAUGGGGGUUGGUGGAAAGCUCCGGCGGUUUGGGAUGGGCCCGCGGCCUAUCAGCUUGUUGGUGGGGUAAUGGCCUACCAAGGCGACGACGGGUAGCCGGCCUGAGAGGGCGACCGGCCACACUGGGGCUGAGACACGGCCCAGACUCCUACGGGAGGCAGCAGUGGGGAAUAUUGCACAAUGGGCGCAAGCCUGAUGCAGCGACGCCGCGUGAGGGAUGACGGCCUUCGGGUUGUAAACCUCUUUCACCAGGGACGAAGCGUGAGUGACGGUACCUGGAGAAGAAGCAC
This 450-nucleotide ribosomal RNA is filed under the name uncultured bacterium. RNAcentral describes it as "bacterial SSU rRNA". It matches the Rfam family "Bacterial small subunit ribosomal RNA", at positions 28 to 493 of the family's 1533-position model. The record is from RNAcentral.